This is a small nuclear RNA of Cricetulus griseus (Chinese hamster), 107 nucleotides long. Lineage: Eukaryota; Metazoa; Chordata; Mammalia; Rodentia; Cricetidae. The record is from Ensembl.
GUGCUUGCUUUGGCAGCUCAUACACUAAAACUGGAAUGAUACAGAGAAGAUUAGCAUGGCUCUUGCGCAAGGAUGACUUGAAAAUUCGUGACAUGUUAAAAAAAUUG